UGAUAAGUUCGAGUUGGAAUCUUGGUCAGUCUAGUUUGAAAGGCCGAACUGUACCUUUCCUUUUUCGCCUACUUUCUGGUGGAGGCUGGAAUAAGAGUACGUAUUAUCAAAAGGAGGCUUGUGCUCGCUUAUUGAUUGCCUCCAGGACAUUGAACUAAAUCGAAACGUCGUUGGCUAAUGACGCAAAAUGCCGAAUCUGAAUGGUUCAACAAAGUCCAUCGAUUAUCGGGAUCAGCAACAGGACGGAAAAUGUGCAGAACCCUUGAUGAAAGGGCAUUCAAAAGAUAAUGUAGCAGUAGAGAGAACGUCCUUGACCACCCCCUCGAACGAAGAUUCUUUUCUACCAAACUACGAAAAUCAAUCAAAAGAAAUUACUAACUCGGGAAAGAAAAAAAAAUCCAGAAUUAGAAGAAUAAAAGACUCAUGUAAUGUAGAUCUGCUUCGUCAUCGCUUGCCGAUCGUGGGAUGGCUGCCAAAUUAUAACUUGAAUUAUUCCGUCUUUGAUCUUAUCGCCGGGGUCACUGUCGGACUUACCAUCAUUCCUCAGUCGAUCGCUUAUGCUGGCGUCGCGGGACUUCCUUUCGAGUAUGGCCUCUAUUCCUCAUUUAUGGGGUUGUUUGCGUACACCGUUUUUGGAUCGGUUAAAGAAUCGUCGAUUGGUCCGACAGCCGUCAUGGCUUUAAUGACCUUCAAUUAUGCCAACGAAGGGGGCCCUGCCUAUGCUUGCCUUUUGUCUUUUCUGGCUGGACUUAUUGAGCUUGUCGCCGGACUGCUUAACCUCGGAUUUAUGGUCGAUUUCAUUUCGGCGCCAGUCAUUUCUGGUUUCUGUUCGGCAGCCGCUUUGACCGUCGCCUCGACCCAGGUAAAAGGGCUCUUUGGACUGAAGUUUAGUGGGUCUUCCUUCGUUGAAAUCUGGACGGGUUUCUUUACAAACCUGUCUAAAAUUAAUCCGUGGGAUGCUGGGCUAGGAUGUUCCUCCAUCGUCAUUCUGCUUUUGAUGCGGAAACUGACUGCGAUGAAAAACCUUCGGCCUUUUAAGAAAAUUACAUGUCUCCGUAACCGAUUCGUUGAUAGUGGCUUGUGGUUUAUUUCAACUAGUCGAAAUGCCUUUGCUGUCAUUGGCGGCUGCGUGGCUGCGUACGUCUUGCAAGUCAACGGCCUAUCUCCUUUCACCUUAACAGGUAACAUCAAGGCCGGUCUACCUUCAUUCGAACUGCCUCCGUUUUCAAUCAAUACGACAGAUUCCGACGGGAAUAGCACGGUUUUGUUAAGUUUCCCAGAGAUAUGUUCAGAACUGGGUGCAGCCAUCGGUCUAAUUCCCCUUAUCGCCAUAUUAGAGCAAGUUGCUAUAGCCAAAGCGUUCGCUUUCGGCAAACGAACGGACGCCACUCAGGAAAUGAUCGCUCUCGGUAUGGGAAAUAUCCUUGGUUCUUUUUUCGGCGCAAUGCCCAUCACUUCGUCAUUUGGAAGAAGCUCCGUUCAAAAUGCCAGUGGAGUCAAAACGCCACUUUCCAACGUUUACGCAGGCAUUUUGGUUCUGUUGGCUUUGGGUUUUCUGAUGCCUUCCCUGGCAUAUAUUCCGAAAGCGAUCCUCGCUGCUGUAAUCAUUACGUCAGUAAUUUUUAUGGUGGAAUUAGAGGAACUUAAACCUAUGUGGAAGAGCAGAAGAGUGGAACUAAUUCCGUUAGGUGUGACAUUCUUUUGCUGUCUCUUUGUAAACAUGGAGUACGGUAUUUUGAUUGGGGCUGGCGUACAUUUGUUUAUGUUGGCUUACAUGGCGGGAGGCCGUCCUCAUCCGGAGUUGAUACGGGAACCUGGUAGUAAGAAGACCGGAGGAAGAGUCGUCGUUAAAGCUGACACAAACCUUUACUUCCCUGGAGUAGAAAAAUUUCGCCAAGUUCUGAAUGAAGCCACUGAUGGAGAGACAUGCGUCUUGGUCGAUCUAUCACACGUAACAGAAAUCGAUUACACUGCGCUGAAAAUGCUUAAAUCUGUGGCAUCAGAUUACCACAAAAGAGGCUUAAUGGUUCUGCAUUUUACCAAUGCUUCUUCAAAAGUAACCAAAUCGAUUUCAUCUGCCUUACAUUCGGCCGACAUCGAUUUCCUAACACCCAAUAAGAUGAAUAACGCAUUCGAACAAUGUGGACCAAAAACGGAUGAAGUCUAGGCGAGUCAGCGUUCUAUCAUUGACCUUAAAAAAUAUCACUUCUAUUAUAGUCAAGGUUAGAUUUUGUUUUAGCAGCAGUGCACAUAAAUUAGUAAUUUUAGGAAAAAAAAUAAAGGUAAAUAAAAUGUGAUACUGUGCCUUGUUUCAAUACAAGUUGGAUCUUAUUUCCCUGA
This 2340-nucleotide unclassified non-coding RNA is filed under the name Daphnia pulex (common water flea). RNAcentral describes it as "sodium-independent sulfate anion transporter-like, transcript variant X1". Lineage: Eukaryota; Metazoa; Arthropoda; Branchiopoda; Diplostraca; Daphniidae. The record is from RNAcentral.